Molecule: ribosomal RNA, 254 nt
Filed under: uncultured bacterium
Lineage: Bacteria
Description: partial 16S ribosomal RNA
Rfam family: Bacterial small subunit ribosomal RNA
Source: RNAcentral
UACGGGGGGAGCAAGCGUUGUUCGGAUUUACUGGGCGUAAAGGGCGCGUAGGCGGCCACCGCAAGUCGGUUGUGAAAUCUCUGGGCUUAACCCAGAAAGGUCAACCGAUACUGCGGGGCUAGAGUGCAGAAGGGGCAACUGGAAUUCUCGGUGUAGCGGUGAAAUGCGUAGAUAUCGAGAGGAACACCGGUGGCGAAGGCGGCCUUCUGGACAGUGACUGACGCUGAGACGCGAAAGCGUGGGGAGCAAACAGG